AGAGUUUGAUCCUGGCUCAGGAUGAACGCUGGCGGCGUGCCUAAUACAUGCAAGUCGAACGCUUCACUUCGGUGAAGAGUGGCGAACGGGUGAGUAAUACAUAAGUAACCUGGCAUCUACAGGGGGAUAACUGAUGGAAACGUCAGCUAAGACCGCAUAGGUGUAGAGAUCGCAUGAACUCUAUAUGAAAAGUGCUACGGGACUGGUAGAUGAUGGACUUAUGGCGCAUUAGCUUGUUGGUAGGGUAACGGCCUACCAAGGCGACGAUGCGUAGCCGACCUGAGAGGGUGACCGGCCACACUGGGACUGAGACACGGCCCAGACUCCUACGGGAGGCAGCAGUAGGGAAUUUUCGGCAAUGGGGGAAACCCUGACCGAGCAACGCCGCGUGAAGGAAGAAGUAAUUCGUUAUGUAAACUUCUGUCAUAGAGGAAGAACGGUGGAUAUAGGGAAUGAUAUCCAAGUGACGGUACUCUAUAAGAAAGCCACGGCUAACUACGUGCCAGCAGCCGCGGUAAUACGUAGGUGGCGAGCGUUAUCCGGAAUUAUUGGGCGUAAAGAGGGAGCAGGCGGCACUAAGGGUCUGUGGUGAAAGAUCGAAGCUUAACUUCGGUAAGCCAUGGAAACCGUAGAGCUAGAGUGUGUGAGAGGAUCGUGGAAUUCCAUGUGUAGCGGUGAAAUGCGUAGAUAUAUGGAGGAACACCAGUGGCGAAGGCGACGAUCUGGACGAUAACUGACGCUCAGUCCCGAAAGCGUGGGGAGCAAAUAGGAUUAGAUACCCUAGUAGUCCACGCCGUAAACGAUGAGUACUAAGUGUUGGGUGUCAAAGCUCUUCAGUGCUGCAGUUAACGCAAUAAGUACUCCGCCUGAGUAGUACGUUCGCAAGAAUGAAACUCAAAGGAAUUGACGGGGGCCCGCACAAGCGGUGGAGCAUGUGGUUUAAUUCGAAGCAACGCGAAGAACCUUACCAGGUCUUGACAUCGAUCUAAAGGCUCCAGAGAUGGAGAGAUAGCUAUAGAGAAGACAGGUGGUGCAUGGUUGUCGUCAGCUCGUGUCGUGAGAUGUUGGGUUAAGUCCCGCAACGAGCGCAACCCCUGUUGCCAGUUGCCAGCAUUAAGUUGGGGACUCUGGCGAGACUGCCGGUGACAAGCCGGAGGAAGGCGGGGAUGACGUCAAAUCAUCAUGCCCCUUAUGACCUGGGCUACACACGUGCUACAAUGGACAGAGCAGAGGGAAGCGAAGCCGCGAGGUGGAGCGAAACCCAUAAAACUGUUCUCAGUUCGGACUGCAGUCUGCAACUCGACUGCACGAAGAUGGAAUCGCUAGUAAUCGCGAAUCAGCAUGUCGCGGUGAAUACGUUCUCGGGCCUUGUACACACCGCCCGUCACACCAUGAGAGUCGGUAACACCCGAAGCCGGUGGCCUAACCGCAAGGAAGGAGCUGUCUAAGGUGGGACUGAUGAUUGGGGUGAAGUCGUAACAAGGUAUCCCUACGGGAACGUGGGGAUG
This 1508-nucleotide ribosomal RNA is filed under the name human gut metagenome. RNAcentral describes it as "bacterial SSU rRNA". It matches the Rfam family "Bacterial small subunit ribosomal RNA". The record is from RNAcentral.